UGUGCGUAUAUCCAUGAAAACUUACUAAAUUUGAGCUAAUACAUAAUGCAAACAGAAAAUGUUUUUUGAGUAGAAUUUGCAUACAGAAAGACAAUCAAGAAUCGGACUAAAACAUUUGAAAAGUUUGUCAAUAUUUAGUAGUAUAUACAAUAGCACAAGUAUUAUUGUGUCACUAGUAUCUCAUCUUAUACAUCAUGAAUGUUACUAAUGAAAUGUUGCAGAUUUAUCUAUAAGUAUAAAUCUUAAGAUGCUGUUAAGAGCUAAUACAUAAUGCAAACAGAAAAUGUUUUUUGAGUAGAAUUUGCAUACAGAAAGACAAUCAAGAAUCGGACUAAAACAUUUGAAAAGUUUGUCAAUAUUUAGUAGCAUAUACAAUAGCACAAGUAUUAUUGUGUCAUUAGUAUCUCAUCUUAUACAUCAUGAAUGUUACUAAUGAAAUGUUGCAGAUUUAUCUAUAAGUAUAAAUCUUAAGAUGCUGUUAAUUUGCC
RNAcentral lists this long non-coding RNA (488 nucleotides) under Olea europaea (common olive). Its description in RNAcentral is "long non-coding RNA (OEUR_LNC004370)". The record is from RNAcentral. Lineage: Eukaryota; Viridiplantae; Streptophyta; Magnoliopsida; Lamiales; Oleaceae.